CUUAAAAAAUCGUGUAAGUCAAACCGUGAGAGUUCAACUUACAUUAACAAAGUCAACUUUUAGAGGUUCAACAUAAUAGUUUUUUGAAAGAAAAAAAAAACUUUAAAAGUAAACUAGUUUUCUAACGCUUCUAUUACUGAAAUAAUCGAAUGUUAAUUGAUUUUGAUAAAUUCUUAAUUUUUCUUUUGCAGGAUUAUCAACUUUGUCCAAUUUGACGAAUCUUGAUCUAAGCUAUAAUAAUAUCCAUUAUUCUGUGGCCAAUCAAGGUAUUUAAGAAAAUUAUAAUUUAAAAAGAGGAAGAAAUGAUAUAUUAGAUAAAUUCAUGAUAUUUACACGUUGAUUCCAUUAUUUCGUUCAAGUUCCUAUAUUCACAUUUUGCAUAAAAUAUAUUUGUCUCCUUCUUAGAGACAUAUUUACUCUAUCCUUUUUAGCAUAAUUAAAGUUUAUUUAUAUUUUUUAGUUAAUUAAAGUUACAUAUCUUUCAGACUCGAAAAGAGUAAGUAGAUUGGAAGUCCUUAAUUUAGAUGAAAAUAUGAUAGAUGGAAAAAAGCUAAGGGAGUCAUUACGAGCUUUAUCAUCAUCCAUUAAGGAGCUUCAAAUGUCUUACAAUAAUUUUACAGGAACACUUUUAGCUAAAGGUAAAUAAUACAUAUGAUUUUCAUAACGUAAAUUAAUUUUGUACUUCUUACAUUAAGGUUCUUAAUUUUUUUUCUUCUAUUGGGCAGAUUUUCACGAUUUAAGUAAGCUAGAACUUUUGAAAUUGGAACGAAAUGAUAACAUGGAGAGUGAAUUUUUCAAAAGUAUUGGGAAUUUGACGUCCUUGAAAGUACUGUCUCUUUCAUAUUGUCAGAUAAAUGACACCCUUCCUGCUGCUACUGGUAAUUAUAUUAUUAUUCAAUGUUAUUCAUAACAUGUAUGUUUUAUAUAAUUUUUCUUAAUUUUGUUAAAAUCAUUAUAUCCUUCUUGUUAUAACACUUGCAAGAUGUUUUCUUUUUUAUUCAAUUUUUCAUUCAGAUUGGUUUAAGCUGAAGAAGUUGGAAGAGUUAAAUCUAAUACAAGAUGGAUUUGAAGGAUUUCUUCCCAAAUCUUUCACUAACAUGACAUCUCUUCGGAAGUUGGAUCUUUCUCAAAAUCACUUCAUGGGAAAGUUUGAUUCUAACAUUGCAACCCUUACAUCACUGGAACAUUUUGAUUUUACAGAAAACCAAUUUGAAGUGCCUGUUUCAUUUACACCAUUUGCCAAUCAUUCACACCUUAAGUUUGUCUACGGUAAAGGCAACAAAGUCAAAUUGGACUCACAACACAGUUUGCAAACUUGGAUUCCAAAAUUUCAGUUAGAGAUGCUUAGCUUGUCUUCAACCAUUGGGACUAGUUCUUUCCAGUUUCCCAAAUUUCUUCUUUAUCAAAAAUAUUUAACUAGUCUAGAUUUUAGUAGUUUGAAGUUGGAAGGAGGGUUUCCUCAUUGGUUGUUAGAAAACAACACAAGGUUGAUUGAAGUUGUUUUAGAAAUUGUUCUUUGAAUGGUACUAUGCAAAUACCAUUGCAUCCCUCUCUUGAGUUACUGAGAAUUGAUGUGUCCAGCAAUACCAUAAUUGGUGAAAUCCCAAGCAAGAAUAUCAGUUUUAUUUACCCAAAUUUGAGAUAUUUAAACAUGUCUAAAAACCACAUCCAAGGUUCAAUUUCUCGUGAGUUUGGCCGAAUGAAGUUGUAUUCGUUGGAUCUUUCAGACAACCAAUUGUCAGGAAAUAUAUCAGAGGACAUAUUUGAAGCUUGGCACCAACUUCAUUUCUUGGAACUUUCAAAUAAUAAGUUGGAGGGACCCAUUUUUACAAUACCCACUAAUUUGGAGUUUUUAUCAUUGAAUGAUAAUAACUUUAGUGGUAGACUUCCUAGGAACAUUUUUAACACAUCCAUUGUCUCAUUGGAUGUAAGCAAUAAUCAUUUGGUAGGAAAGAUUCCAAGCCUUCUGAAUAAUUUAUCAACAUUAUGGGAACUUCGUAUGUUCAAUAACCACUUUGAAGGAUCCAUUCCGUUAGAAUUAACACAACUUGAAGAUCUAAUAUAUUUAGAUCUCUCCCAAAAUAAUUUUUCUGGUCUUGUACCAUCAUUUAUAAAUUCUUCUGUGAAAUUUAUCCAUUUGAGGAAUAAUCAUUUAACAGGAUUGCCCAAAAAAAUGUUCACUGAAAACUCUCCUCUAGUGAUGUUGGACCUUAGUUACAACGAAAUAUCUGGUGGCAUUCAGGAUAUGAUUAAAGACCUCAGUUAUUCAAAGUUGAAUUUUCUCCUUUUAAAAUGUAAUCACAUUACUGGGGAUAUACCUAAGCAAUUAUGUCAAUUGAUAAAUUUAACCAUUCUAGAUCUUUCAGACAAUAAACUUUUGGGAGAAAUUCCUCAUUGCUUGGAGACAAUGCCUUUUGAUAAUAACAACCUUAUUCCAUUAUUAAAAGCAUCCAAGGGAGUUUUGUUGAAGAAUAUUCUCAUAACCUAAUAAAGAGAAAGCAAGUUUCACAAGAGCAUAAGAAAGAGAAAGCAAGUUUCACUUCAAAGAAAAGAAUUGAUACUUACACGGGAAGCAUCCUUGUUUUUAUGUCUGGAAUUGACUUAUCCAAUAAUAAAUUGAAGGGGAAUAUUCCUUACGAGCUUGGAAACUUGACAAGAAUCCAAACAUUGAACUUGUCUCAUAAUGAUUUGAUUGGACAAAUUCCAGAUUCAUUCUCGAAGUUGGUGCAAAUAGAGAGUUUAGAUCUUUCUUUUAAUAAGUUGAGUGGUGAAAUUCCAUCUAAACUCAAUAUUCUAACCACACUUGAAGUAUUAAGUGUGGCACACAACAACUUAUCAGGCCCAAUACCUGAAUGGACAAAUCAAUUUGCCACAUUUGAUGAGAGUAGCUAUGAGGGUAACCCAUUUCUUUGUGGACCUCCAUUACCAAAGAGUUGUCAUCCAACUCCUAGAGUUAUUUCAAAUGACUUGGAUUCUGACAAAGACAAUGAUAGGUUGGUAGAUAUGUAUAUCUUUUAUGUGAGCUUUGUUGUAUCAUACACGUUAGCAUUGUUAACAACUGCAGCAGCUCUAUGCAUCAAUCCUUCCUGGACACAAGCAUAGUUUAACUACAUGAAAUUUGUCAAUUUUAAAUUGUUACUACUUUAUCGUGGACAAUUUUUUAAAUUUUGUAAUACUAAAAAUAUGUAACAUGUAUAUUUAUUUCGUUGUUUUCUUUUAAAAGUGACUUAAUAAAAAAAAAGUCAUGCAUGUGUGGCUUAAUAUAAUAAUAUGAAAUCUAAAUUUUGUAUUCAUUAAUGUUAAGGAUUUUUUUAGUCUUUUAAGUUCUUCAUUAUACUGUGAGAGAAUCUAGAUAAGAUAUUUUUUUAUAUCACAUCAAUUAAUAUUAAGACUUCAUAUGUUUUUAGUAUUUAUAAAACAGGUUAACUUGGUUGAGGUGAAAAAAUUUGUAGUCUAUAUAAAAUCAUGAUAUUUUAUUUUAGUCUUUAAAAUCUUGUUUUUAGUAUCUAUGUCUUAGAAUCUGAACGAGACAAAGUUAUGAUUUAAUAAAAAUUAAAAGUGAUUUAAUUUUUUAUUUAAUAGUAAGAACUUGCUAACAGAAAAUUAUGGAAACUAAAAGUUUUAGUGAAAUGUAGUAGAAAUUAAAAAAUUACUCUAUUUAAAAGAACACUUGAAUCCCUUAAUAAUAAUUUAAAAUCAUGAUUCACUUAAAAUUUUAUACGAUUUAUUUUCCACACGCAUUAUUUUUUACCCACCACCCAUUUGUAUGUAGUAUCUAUCUGUUACUCGAAAACACAUUAUUAAUGUUACAGUAAAAAAAUUAUUAAAUAUAAUUAAUUCAAUAUAUUACAAAAAAAUUUAUUAAAUAUAAAUCAAUUUUAGAGAAAAAUAAUAAUAAUAAUUAAUUAAUUAAAUUAGAUACUAUUUUAGAUAUUAAAAAAAUUAUUAGUAUCUAAAUUAAUUUCUCUUUUUAAUAAAUAAUUUCUAAAUUAAUAUUUAAUUAAUUAUCAAAGUUUUAGUUAUUAACUUAAGAAUCUAAAUAAUUGGUAACAAAAAUAUUUAUAACUAAUUAGAUACCUAUUUAACUACUAUUUAUAAAUAACAACAACUAAUUUAAAUACCAAAAAUUUUUAGUCUCGACAAUAGUAUCUAAUUUAGUUAAUAUAACUAAUUAUUUUUUUGUCUCUAAACGUUGUUUGUAUUUAAUGAUUAGUGUUACUUUAUGAUUUCACAGAAGUAUAUUACUACACUAUGAACAUAAACUAUAUAUUUUUUUCAUAACUAGGGAUGUUAAGGAAUUUAGCUGUUGUUAUACAAGCCAAGGACUCAAAGUUACAUUCAGUUACGAUUCCUAUUGAUAAUCAUCAUGUGGAGAUCUCUGCUCUUGUGGCUUUACCAUCUCCAUUGCGUCCUACCUCACCUCGGAAGGCUAAAUCACCUGCAGAUUCUAAAGCACCAAUUAAUACUCCAAUUGAUAGUCAUCAUGUGGAGGUCUCUACUAUUGUGACUGCACUAUCUUUGUCGCCUCAUACCACCCCUCGGAAGGCUAAAUCUCUUGGGGAUGUUAAAGCACUAUCGUUGGUCCUGCAAAAUCAUUUUUUCUCUCUGAGUGGUUUGGAAACUACAUAUGUUAUUUCAAAAUUUUGGGUUGAUCCUAAUGAGAUGGAGGAGGAUGCCAGUGAUACUGGGGAGAAAAUAGUUUGCACUAAGAGAAAAAACAGGGAGACCACCUAGGGGACUGGUAAAUAAAUAAAAAACUGCUUGGGCAAUUCUCUCUACAACGUUGCAAUGUGGAGAUGUUGAUUAGUUUACUUAAACUACAUAAAACCUCCUAGUUUUUCUUGUUGAACCUAUGAUGUUGUAUACUGAUUCUUUCGACGUCCUUUUCAAAUAUGUUAAUAUGCAUUUGGUGACUACGUCUCCUAUUGUUAAUAAAGCGUCUAAACUGUGGUGUUUGUUGGUUCCUAAUCUUAUCCAAAAUUUCUUAGUCAAUGAUCAGUUUAUUUUUGUAACUUGUCUUCUACAUGAUAAAUGUUUUAGCUUUGUAGGUGUUCAUGCUGCUACCACAUACUUGGUAGAUGAUUUUUGUGGAUGGAUCUUAGUUUCUUCAUAGGGUCGUGGUGUAUUCUGGGAGAUUUUAAAGGGGGCGACUCUUAAUCAGGUUUCCUGUAGUGAAUUCCUUAAUGAUCUUUCUUGUAUGCCUUUUACUGGAUCUUUUUAUACUUGGUGUAAUGGAAGGAGAGGGUUGCAUAGAACUCAUAGAAGAUUGGAUAGGGCUUUAUGUAAUGGAAUGUGUCUGGAUGAAUGAGACUCUUGUACUUAUCAAGUUCUUGUUAAAAACUGUUAUGAUCAUCCCCCUAUUCUUGCUAGUCUUGUAGUAAUUCUUUGAGGAAGGUUAGCAAUUUUCGUUUCUUUUCUAUAUGACUUCAGAACACUUCAUGUCUGAAGCUUAUUCAUGAUUCUUUGGCUAAUAAGGUUGUUCGUUGUCCUAUGCUUAUUUUGCAACAUAAGUUAAAAAUGUUGAAAAUUGACCUCCAAGACUGGAAUAAAAAUUCUUUUGGUAAUGUUCAUAAUGAAGUUCUUCUUAAGCAGGGUCUUCUCCUUGGUAUUCAACAAAACUUAGAGACUGUCAGUUUGUCUAAUAUUGUUGGGCUUCUCUGUCAAGAAAAGAUUGUUAAGGAGGAGUUUGAUCAUGUUCUUCACUGUCAAUAUUUGUUUUGGAAAGAAAUGGCUAAGUUGUUAUGGUUCAAAGAUGGAGAUCGAAAUACUGCUUUUUUCCAUGUUGUGGUCAAAAGGAGAAAUAAUUCUAGUGGGAUUCAUCUUCUACGGAUUGAUAAUAAGGUUACUCAGGAUCCUAAACUCAUUGAGGAUUAUAUUUUGGACUUUUAUAAAAAUCUUUAUGCUGAGUCUAUUUCUAAUGUUCUGGAUACAAGUAAUAUGCUUGGAACUUUGUUUAUAGCAACAAGCCUUGAUCUUUGCUCUUGAAAGUCAGAGUUCUUAAAUCCAAAUACGAUUUUAGAAUGGUUUAUAGAUCCUCAUUUCUUUGGCCUAGAAUUAAGCAAUUUUAUUCUACUAUACUUGAUUAUACUUCUUGGAUGGUUGGUACAGGUUCUUUUAUUAAUUUCUGGAAUGAUAAAUGGUGUUCAACAACUUCUUUAACAAAUAUUGCAGCGUUAUCUGAUGGUGCUAGCAUUCCGGAUCUAGUCUCUCAGUUUUGGACAAGUUGUGAUUGGAAUAUUCCCUUAUCUGUACAGCAGAUGCCUCAUUUUUUUUUAAUCAUAUCAUGGUUAGGGAGGAACAAGAUAUUUCUAAUUGGAUUCUAUAUGAUUCUAUUCGUUUAACUCUUAAACUGGUUAGGACUUUUAUCUUGGAACCAGGAGUUCUCUGUGGUUGGGGUAAAUUCAUUUGGUCUUCAUCUAUUCCGGCUUCCAAAACUAUGGUACUCUGGAAAGUUUUUCAUGGGCAGCUUCCGACAGAUCAAUAUAUUCAUAAUAAAGGUUUGCAUAUAUGUUCUAUGUGUACGCUUUGUGAAAAGCAUGAGGAAUCUAUCCAACAUUUAUUUUUUAAUGUUCUAAUGUCUUACAUAUUUGGAGUUGGGUUUGGCAGAUUUUUCUUACUUCUCAUUUCUCUAAUAAAGUUGAUUUUCUUUCCUUUAUUAAGAGCGAAGGUAGUCCUUUGGUUAAAUUGAUUAAGCUUGUUGUCAAAACUUUUUCUAUUUGGAUGACGUAUGAGGAAUUAUGCUAGACUUCAGGAUAAGAUUGAGCUAUUUCGAUUAUUAAAGAUUUAACUUGUCUAGUGGGAAAUUCGUCUAAAGCUUCAAUGAAGAAUGAUAUGUUGGAUUUCAAAGUGAUUAUGUUUUUUGGUAUUAAUACUCAUAGUGGUAAAGUUCUUCGUCAUCUUCCUGUUAGAUGGGAUUUUCCUUCACCAGGUUGGGUUAAAAUUAACACUGAUGGUGCUGCUAGGAGUAUCCUGGUCUUGCUACUUGUGGAGGUAUUUUCCAUAGGAGUAUAGGGGAGUUUAUUUGUGCUUUCUCUGCAUUUUUUGAAGUUCAAACUUCUAUGGCUGCUGAGUUUUAUGAAGUUAUACAUGCUAUGGAGGAAGCUCAAAAGAUGGGGCUUACUAAUGUGUCUGGCUUGAAUGUGAUUAUGUGUUGGUUUAUGUUGCGUUUACUGCUAGGACUAAUGUUUCGCGAAUGCUUCGUAAUCAAUGAAAUACUUGUCUUAAUUAUUGUGUGAAAAUCAGGUUCGUGGUUACUCAUAUUUUUCAUGAAGAAAAUGCGUGUGCUGAUAAAUGAGCUAAUUUAGGAUUUAUUCAUAGAGAAUCAUUUCAUUGAUAUAAUAGACUUCCAUCUAGUAUGUUAUUAGAAUUAUUUAUGAAUAGGUAUAAUCUACCUAUGUAUUGUUUUUGUUAACAUAUAGAUUUUAGUCUAGUCCCCUCAUAUUUUUGUAUUUUUUUUAAUAAUACUUUUUUUACUGUGAUAGCAAAUGAUUGUUAUUACUUGAGGUGUCAAUCUAGUUGAGAUUUCAAGUUGUAUAGUGAUGCCUAAUAUGAAAGUUUUUAUAAAAAAAAACAUAAACUAUAUAUUGUUUUAUAAUUUUUUAUUAAUCAUUUUAUAUCCAAUAAAUAUUGAAUAUGUUUAUAAAAAAUUAAACCCAUUCUGUUAUGUUCCAAUACAAUAUAUAAAAAUUAAUACAAUUUAUAAACUAAGAAAUAAUCAUUGAUAUAGCAUAUAAUACCAUUUUUCUAACUAAUUGAGCAAGAUCAUUCUUCUUCUUAUGAAAUAGUAAUUGUAAUGGCACCUAAAGAAAAAAGAAAAAAGAGAAUAAAGAAUAGAGUGUAACUGGUGCCGAACACGAGCUAAAUAUGACUCUACUUAGCUAACAGACCCCAUGUAAGGUAAACAAAAUACAUGAGAAGAGCUAUAAAAAUUACUGUUUUAAUUUGCUCUCUAUGGUUAGAGUAUCUCAUUACAUAAGAGACAUAAUACUAACUCAUUAAAACACACAUCACAUAAUAUAUUAUGGUAACUUAAUAUUUAAUAUGACACCUAUAAAAAGGAUUUUACUGUAAAAUUAGUAACAAAUGUGACUCACAACACAGUUUGCAAACUUGGAUUCCUAAAUUUCUGUUAGUGGAGCUUAGCUUAUCUUCAACCAUUGAAACUAGUUCUUUUCAGCUUCCCAAAUUUCUUCUUUAUCAAAAAUAUUUAACUAGUAUAGAUUUUAGUAGUUUGAAGUUGGAAGGAGGGUUUCCUAAUUGGUUGUUAGAAAACAACACAAGGUUAACUGAAGUUGUUUUUAGAAAUUGUUCUUUGAAUGGUACUAUGCAAAUACCAUUGCGCCCCCUUCUUGAGUUACGAAGUAUUGAUGUGUCUAGCAAUACCAUAAUUGGUGAAAUCCCAAGCAAGAAUAUCAGUUUUAUUUAUCCAAAUUUGAGAUAUUUAAACAUGUAUAGAAACCACAUCCAAGGUUCAAUUUCUCGUGAGUUUGGCCGAAUGAAGUUGUAUUUGUUGGAUCUUUCAGACAACCAAUUGUUAGGAAAAAUAUCAGAGGACACAUUCGAAGCUUGGCACCAACUUCAUUUCUUGGAACUCUCAAAUAAUAAGUUGGAGGGACCCAUUUUUACAAUACCCACUAGUUUGGAGUUUUUAUCAUUGAAUGAUAAUAACUUUAGUGGUAGACUUCCUACGAACAUUUUUAACACAUCCAUUGUCUCAUUGGAUGUAAGCAAUAAUCAUUUGGUAGGAAAGAUUCCAAGACUUCAGAAUAAUUUAUCAACACUAUGGGAAAUUCGUAUGUCCAAUAACCACUUUGAAGGAUUCAUUCCGUUAGAAUUAACACAACUUGAAGAUCUAAAAUAUUUAAAUCUCUCCCAAAAUAAUUUGUCUGGUCUUGUACCAUCAUUUAUAAAUUCUUCUGUGAAAUUUAUCCAUUUGAGCAAUAAUCAUUUAGUAGGAUUGCCCAAAAAAAUGUUCACUGAAAACUCUUCUCUAGUGAUGUUGGACCUUAGUUACAACGAAAUAUCUGGUGGCAUUCAAGAUAUGAUUAAAGACCUCAGUUAUUCAAAGUUGAAUUUUCUCCUUUUAAAAGGUAAUCACAUUUAUGGGGAUAUACUUAAGCAAUUAUGUCAAUUGAUAAAUUUAACCAUGCUAGAUCUUUCAGACAAUAAACUUUUGGGAGAAAUUCCACAUUGCUUGGGAACAAUGCCUUUUGAUAUUAACAACCUUGAUCCAUUAUUAAAAGCAUCCAAGGGAAGUUUUGUUGAAGAAUAUA
Molecule: long non-coding RNA, 9272 nt
Filed under: Phaseolus vulgaris (common bean)
Lineage: Eukaryota; Viridiplantae; Streptophyta; Magnoliopsida; Fabales; Fabaceae
Description: long non-coding RNA (PVUL_LNC003679)
Source: RNAcentral